GCUCCUCCUCCAGUUCUCCAGUUGAAGCGGUAGAGCAGAGGGCGCUGUGCAGAGCAACAAGAACAUGCCUUGACUUGUACUGGCAUGUCAGGAGGGAGUUGAGGCUUGUGGUCAGCACCAGUAACUGUUUCUCAUCUAACUGACCGGUGAAGACGAAAACAGCAUACUAUCGACUCUAUGGAUAUUGGGACAGACUGAACUGACAAACAUCCAACACCCAGUCUCUGCACUGGCUGUUCCCUCUCUGGAAGAUCCCUGACCUCACCACGGCUGAUUCUUCUGAUGACACGACUCCUGAGACAAAAGAAACGUAUCCAGAUGUCCUGGAGACGAUGAGAGACCUUGAGUCAGCUAGAUUAGCAGAAAGGCGACCUCUCACCUACCGUCAUCUCUUGGAAACUGAAAGCAGAACAAAGGCUUAUUCGGUAAGGGGAAAUCUACCUCUGUCCCUGGCUGUCAUAGAAGAACUCUGGACAUUCCAUGAGCAGAGUAUUAAAGUGUCCAGAGCUCACCUGCAGAAGACGGGAGAGUCAUAUACGAGGAGCCUUUACAGUCACCGACAGAUGAGGGCGAGAGAUGCUGAAGUGAUGGAAGGAGAGCGAGCGAGUGAGGGAUGAGGGGCGCUGCUGUGAGUGGUUCUUUGGCAGUGUCUUAGCUGGUUGUUGUGUGGAGUGAGAACGAAGCAAUCAGCAAGUAUACUGCCGCAGAAACUCAUCACCUUAGGAAGCCCAUCCAUCCAACCCCGCUCAUGCACUUACAGCCUGGAGAGAAACAAGAAAAGA
Long non-coding RNA from Rhinichthys klamathensis goyatoka, 782 nucleotides. RefSeq lists it as uncharacterized. Lineage: Eukaryota; Metazoa; Chordata; Actinopteri; Cypriniformes; Leuciscidae. The record is from RefSeq and is a predicted model, not a curated record. The transcript has 4 exons.